UUGAGAUAGAGUCUUGCUCUGUCGCCCAGACGAGUGCAGUGGCGCAAUCUCAGCUCACUGCAACCUCCACCUCCCAGGUUCAAGCAAUUCUCCUGCCUCAGCCUCCUGAGUAGCUGGGAUUACGGCUGGGCAUGGUUGCGCAUGCCUGUAAUCCCAGCUACUUUGGAGGCUGAGGUGGGGAGAAUUGCUUGAACCUGGGAGGUGGAGGUUGCAGUGAGCCAAGGUCGCGACACUGCACUCCAGCCUGGGUGACAGAGUGAGACUCCAUCUCAACAGAAGGAAAAAAAAGGAAAAUAGGAGAAGGUGGAAAUGGGUGAAGAGAGAAGUCCCCUCACUAGCUGCAUGAGAAAUCUAUCUUACUGUGGUUCUCCAUGGGCAGCAGGACCAUUUUUCAGAAUCAAGAGGGAGGACAGUGUGAGAAGGCGAUGAUCCAAAGAAGACAGAGAGGUCAGCCCCACCCGAUCCCUCAAAUGGGCUCUUGGAGGCACCCCCAGGGGCAGCCCAUUUCUCAAAGUCCAGAAAAUUAGGGUCCCAGAAGGGGGCAGCAGCAGGCUGGGAGUUAGGAGGGAGAGCAGGGUGCCGGCCCUGCCACCAAGUUGAGAGCUGGAGGGGAGGUGGGGAGAGAACAUCACAGAGCAGCCAGCCCUGGUUCACUCCUGGCAGUUUCUUCUCAAGCUCCUUCCCUAGGAGCAUGGUGGCACGUGCCUGUGGUCUCAGCUACUUGGGAGGCUGAGGCGGGAGGAUCGCCAGAGCCCAGGAGUUUGAGGCUGCAGUGAGCUAUGAGGGUGCCUCUGUGCUCCAUCCUAGGCAACAGAGUGAUACGCUGUUUAAAAAGGAAAAAA
Molecule: long non-coding RNA, 842 nt
Filed under: Homo sapiens (human)
Lineage: Eukaryota; Metazoa; Chordata; Mammalia; Primates; Hominidae
Description: HSALNT0240763
Source: RNAcentral